Molecule: ribosomal RNA, 407 nt
Filed under: uncultured bacterium
Lineage: Bacteria
Description: bacterial SSU rRNA
Rfam family: Bacterial small subunit ribosomal RNA
Source: RNAcentral
GGAAGAAUAUUGGUCAAUGGGGGAAACCCUGAACCAGCAAUGCCGCGUGAAGGAAGAAGGCCUUCGGGUUGUAAACUUCUGUGACGGGGGACGAAGCAAGUGACGGUACCCCGAGAGGAAGCCCCGGCAAACUACGUGCCAGCAGCCGCGGUAAUACGUAGGGGGCGAGCGUUGUCCGGAAUUACUGGGCGUAAAGCGCGCGUAGGCGGCUUUACAAGUCGCUUGUGAAAGCCCCGGGCUCAACCUGGGGAUUGCAGGCGAAACUGUAGGGCUUGAGUGCGGUAGAGGAAAGUGGAAUUCCUAGUGUAGCGGUGAAAUGCGCAGAUAUUAGGAGGAACACCAGUGGCGAAGGCGACUUUCUGGGCCGUAACUGACGCUGAGGCGCGAAAGCGUGGGGAGCAAACAGG